RNAcentral lists this transfer RNA (89 nucleotides) under Staphylococcus aureus. RNAcentral's name for it is "tRNA-Ser". It matches the Rfam family "tRNA". Rfam says of the family: Transfer RNA (tRNA) molecules are approximately 80 nucleotides in length. Lineage: Bacteria; Bacillati; Bacillota; Bacilli; Caryophanales; Staphylococcaceae. The record is from RNAcentral.
GGAAGGUUGUCCGAGCUGGCCGAAGGACCACGCCUGGAAAGUGUGUAGGCGUCACAAGCGUCUCAAGGGUUCGAAUCCCUUACCUUCCG